AUGGAGCACGACGAAUUGGAAGACUCAAGUCACAAUACCUAUGUCGACCAUGAUCCAUUGGACUAUGUGUACUCAAACCUCCCCGACAGUACACACAUCCUCAAGCACGCCGCGAACUGCGACCAUUUCAAGGCCAAGAAGUUUGUGUCCGAGGCCCCAGGAUUCUGCUGUCGCAAUGGGUAGAUCGAGCUGAAGCAACCGGAGCCCAUCCCGGAGCUAAUGAGGCUUUGGUCUAGCACGGAUGCGGACUCUAGGCAUUUUCGGGAGAACAUACGGUUCUUCAACGGCCACUUCUCCUUCACAACUCUCGACGUCAGCCUGGAUGAAAGCUAGACAAACAUGAAGUCUGGGGUGUACACCUUCCGGGCGCACGGCACCAUCUACCACAAUGUUCAUUCCUUCGGGACAACAUUCCGUCCAGAGCAUCUACAGUUGUACUUCUACGACAACGACCCAGGCCUAACCCAUUGCCAGCCUGCCACCAAGCAAUUAGAUCAGAAUGUCAUCAGAAAGUUAGUGGACAUACUCAAGGAAAACCCGUACUCCCAGCAAUUUAGGAGUUUGGGUGCCCACAGGACAACCUCGACGAUUACAUGA
RNAcentral lists this ribosomal RNA (597 nucleotides) under Triticum aestivum (bread wheat). RNAcentral's name for it is "partial small subunit ribosomal RNA". The record is from RNAcentral. Lineage: Eukaryota; Viridiplantae; Streptophyta; Magnoliopsida; Poales; Poaceae.